GCUUUAUUUACAUGAAUACAUAACUGCUGUGUAUUUAGUUAAAGGAGUUAUUUAAAACACUAGACUUUUUGGUUGUUUUUCUUUUUCAGCAGCAAUCAAGCAGCACAAAUCUUGUAUUUAUUUUUAUUUUUUUAACAGUGUUAAUCUUGUGCCACGUUGCCUGAAAGCAGAUUUAUGCUGCUAUGGGUAUGAAUAUCAAUAUCAUUUUUGUUACUUUCUAUUUGUCUGUCUAUUUAUCUUGUAUUUUUAUAGCUAAAUAAAG
This is a non-coding RNA of Pelobates cultripes (western spadefoot toad), 262 nucleotides long. Lineage: Eukaryota; Metazoa; Chordata; Amphibia; Anura; Pelobatidae. The record is from the annotation of a GenBank genome assembly.